This 444-nucleotide ribosomal RNA is filed under the name uncultured bacterium. RNAcentral describes it as "SSU rRNA". It matches the Rfam family "Bacterial small subunit ribosomal RNA", at positions 26 to 518 of the family's 1533-position model. The record is from RNAcentral.
AGAGCGAACGCUGGCGGCAGGCCUAAAACAUGCAAGUCGAACGGACCCUUCGGGGUUAGUGGCGGACGGGUGAGUAACACGUGGGAACGUGCCUUUUGGUUCAGAACAACUCAGGGAAACUUGAGCUAAUACUGAAUAAGCCCUACGGGGGAAAGAUUUAUCGCCAUUAGAGCGGCCCGCGUUGGAUUAGCUAGUUGGUGAGGUAAAGGCUCACCAAGGCUACGAUCCAUAGCUGGUCUGAGAGGAUGAUCAGCCACACUGGGACUGAGACACGGCCCAGACUCCUACGGGAGGCAGCAGUUAGGAAUCUUGCGCAAUGGGCGAAAGCCUGACGCAGCCAUGCCGCGUGAAUGAUGAAGGUCUUAGGAUUGUAAAUUCUUUCAGUGGGAAGAUAAUGACUGUACCCACAGAAGAAGCUCCGGCUAACUUCGCGCCAGCAGCCGC